Molecule: unclassified non-coding RNA, 342 nt
Filed under: soil metagenome
Description: partial contains 5.8S ribosomal RNA, internal transcribed spacer 2, and large subunit ribosomal RNA
Rfam family: 5.8S ribosomal RNA (bases 1-120)
Source: RNAcentral
GAUGAAGAACGUAGCGAAAUGCGAUAAGUAGUGUGAAUUGCAGAAUUCAGUGAAUCAUCGAAUCUUUGAACGCACAUUGCGCCCUUUGGUAUUCCUUAGGGCAUGCCUGUUCGAGCGUCAUUUCAACCAUCAAGCCCCCAGGGGCUUGUGCUGGGGCCCUGCGGCUGCCCGCAGGCCCUGAAAACCAGUGGCGGGCUCGCUAGUCACACCGAGCGCAGUAGCACAUCUCGCUCAGGGCGUGCGGCGGGCUCCUGCCGUGAAACCCCCCACUGUAACCCCAAAGGUUGACCUCGGAUCAGGUAGGAAUACCCGCUGAACUUAAGCAUAUCAAUAAGCGGAGGA